AACGAACGCUGGCGGCAUGCCUAACACAUGCAAGUCGAACGAGACCUUCGGGUCUAGUGGCGCACGGGUGCGUAACGCGUGGGAAUCUGCCCUUCGGUUCGGAACAACAGUUAGAAAUGACUGCUAAUACCGGAUAAUGACGUAAGUCCAAAGAUUUAUCGCCGAAGGAUGAGCCCGCGUAAGAUUAGGUAGUUGGUGGGGUAAUGGCCUACCAAGCCGACGAUCUUUAGCUGGUCUGAGAGGAUGAUCAGCCACACUGGGACUGAGACACGGCCCAGACUCCUACGGGAGGCAGCAGUGGGGAAUAUUGGACAAUGGGCGAAGGCCUGAUCCAGCAAUGCCGCGUGAGUGAUGAAGGCCUUAGGGUUGUAAAGCUCUUUUACCAGGGAUGAUAAUGACAGUACCUGGAGAAUAAGCUCCGGCUAACUCCGUG
Molecule: ribosomal RNA, 433 nt
Filed under: uncultured bacterium
Lineage: Bacteria
Description: bacterial SSU rRNA
Rfam family: Bacterial small subunit ribosomal RNA
Source: RNAcentral